This is a long non-coding RNA of Nicotiana attenuata, 1733 nucleotides long. RefSeq lists it as uncharacterized. The transcript has 3 exons. NCBI's taxonomy places the organism in Eukaryota, Viridiplantae, Streptophyta, Magnoliopsida, Solanales, Solanaceae. The record is from RefSeq and is a predicted model, not a curated record.
CAUUAUAUUGUAAGUAUCUUAGAGAUAAAUCGGUAAUUCGUCCAUUCAUUAUCAUAAAGACAGAUGUACUAUGUAACACGUGUCUUGCCUUUUAUUACUCAUAUAUACUUGCACAUAGUCUACUGGUCCCUUUGAAUCUUGAUCUUUUCAGAAGCCUCAAUUUUCCUGCGCUCAAUCUCUCUAUUCAGAUUAGAAGAUAAUAUUUUCGGGUUUACUUGCUUCUUUCAUCUUAAGGUACUUCUAGCUUUUCCAUUUAUGCUAACUUCAGUGUUCUUCUUUCUUCUUCUCUCGCUCGAUUGACUUUCCUUCUUCAGAAGAUAUUUUUCCCGGGUUUACGCAGUUCUUAAGGUAUUUCAUUUUUCCCGGGUUUACGCAGUUCUUAAGGUAUUUCCUCCUUUCGUUUUGGGUUAAAAUUUAAAUUUUUGAUCACAUUUGGUAAAUGGAUCUUUUUGUGCUAAUAUUUGCUUUUGAAUAUUGGUAAAUGGGUUCGUAUCGGUCUUUUCUUUUUUUCUGGUAUUAGGGUGAAUGCUUAAAUAUGGUGAUCACAAUUUGGUGGGUAUUCGUUAUUUUCCUCUUAUUUUGAAUAAUUUCUUACUAGAAUAUUUACAUGUAUGCCACUAAUUUUACCUGAUUUACACAUGCAUUAUUUCUUUUCGGUGGUUUUUUUUUUGCGCAUAUACUCUCACUUAUUUUACUGCAACUGCACAACAAAAACUCCUUUCCAAAGUGGAAGAUAGAACUUUUAACAACUUGAACAAUAGAGUCUCCAUGACAAAAAUUUACAAAAUAGACACAUCAAUAUUAUUUAACCAUUUAUAUAAAAAGAACAAUCAGACAGUAAGAAACAACAACCACGGAAGACAAAGAAGAUAAUUUGGUAGAGGUCAAUUACACUAAAGGUGCCAAGCUUUGCUACACUAUGACAAGAAAACAAAGAAUCUUGGAGUAGGCUAUGCACUUAUGGUAUUUGAUGAUAUGCGUGACUCAUCUCAUUUGGAGCUAACUUAUGGUGCUGUCUAUUGUGUCUGAAAACUUUUAAUACUUGGGAUAAUAAUUGGUUAUAUUGAUGUUUGCUUACAGAUAAAAAUGACCGGAUGUAGGGUACAAUAGCAUUUUGUUGUAGCGGCGAUUUAUCAUUAAGGAGUAGGGAGGAUGUGAUGUUGGUUAUGGAAGUUUUCGGUCGCCUUAAUAUUUUAGAUUUACAGUUAAAACAAUGUGUUACUUUCUUUUAAGUUAUUUUAAACAAGUUUGCCUUAAUCUUACCGAGUUCAGUUAAUUUUUUUUUGCAUACUUACACUAUUUGAAUUCGACAUUUCGUCGCCGUUUGGCUGUUGAAGGCUUUUCUUCUGCACUAUGAAAUGUUAGCAUUUCAAUGUCCUCCAUACAGGUUUUUUAUGAUUGGGAGAUGGUGGCAUCCUUGUGUUUACUGACCAGAGUAUGGAAAAGAUAUAUCUGAAACAGCUGCCAUGACAGUUGCAGAUUGCAGUAAGGCUUCAAACAAUGGUACUUCAAAAUGCCUCCCGGUGGUGUAGUUUUUGGAAUAGCUGAGGGUGGCUACCAAGUUGGGAACGCUGACUCUAGCUCAUUUGAAAUGAUGAAUCAAGAUGUGCUUGAAGAUACAAACAAUUUAUAUUGUUUUUGCAUGUUAUGUCUAUUAUGUUUAAAUAUAAUUCUACAAGAUGAUGUACUUAUGUCUUUUACAAAUAUUGUUGAUGCGCAUAUAUUUUUUUUUG